ACGUAGGGACCAAGCGUUGUCCGGAAUCGUUGGGCGUAAAGAGCGUGUAGGCGGCUGGUUAAGUCUUGCGUGAAAUCUCGGGGCUCAACCCCGAGCGGUCGUGAGAAACUGGCAGGCUAGAGUGCGGGAGAGGAGAGUGGAAUUCCUGGUGUAGCGGUGAAAUGCGCAGAUAUCAGGAAGAACACCCGUGGCUAAGGCGGCUCUCUAGUACGGUACUGACGCUGAGACGCGAAAGCGUGGGGAGCGAACAGGA
RNAcentral lists this ribosomal RNA (253 nucleotides) under uncultured prokaryote. RNAcentral describes it as "partial 16S ribosomal RNA". It matches the Rfam family "Bacterial small subunit ribosomal RNA", at positions 525 to 777 of the family's 1533-position model. The record is from RNAcentral.